This 878-nucleotide long non-coding RNA is filed under the name Homo sapiens (human). RNAcentral describes it as "HSALNT0305096". Lineage: Eukaryota; Metazoa; Chordata; Mammalia; Primates; Hominidae. The record is from RNAcentral.
CUACUUCUCAGUGGCCACUGGAGAGCUCUGAACCCAGCCCAGGGUCAACUGCCCGGCACUGUCAGGCAGUUCCUCUGACUCCACAGUACAUUCUAAUUGCAGUCACUGAAAUGGAAAUCAGGACACAGACAUGAGCACAUACAGAGAAAAGACUGUGCCAGGAGCAAGCUGCCAUCUGCAAGCCAAGGAGAGAGCUCUCAGAAAAAAACGAUCUUGCCGACACCUUCCUUUUGCACUUCCAGCCUCCAGGACUGUAAGAAAAGAAAUUUCUGUUGUUUAAGCCACCAAGUAGUAUUUCGUUAUAGCAGUCCAAGCAAACUAAUGCACAUAUCAAAACUACUUUAGUUUUUCCACUUUGUUGCAAACAAUUGCAAGGUGUCCAGGUUUUCUGUCUUCCCCCAGCCUGCAAGUGCUCAGAGGACACCCAACCCUAUGAUCUCAGCCAACUCAUGAAGUUUGAUUUCACAACUUAGUGAUGUCUUCCCAGUGGAAUCCUAAAUGAUAAGGAAAAUGGUAUAGAGCCAAGACUUGAACAUUAACAACCCAGGAGCACAGAAACAGCACAGUUAGCUGAGAGGCGUUAUGGAGAGAAGCAACUGAAUGCACACUGAGCGCUGUGAGAAGUCCACGACAGUGGGGAACAGCGCCCACCGUCACAAAAAGAAAGACCCUCGGCAGGUACUUUAGAGUCACGUUCAUGCUGUAAUAUGUGGGGAAGAAAGACUAUUCCAAAUGGAUCUGGCUCUUUAAAACAAGGGAAUUUUCCUUGCUCUUGGGAACCAGCAAAAUCCAGCUGCUCAUUGAACUGCCUGUCUGGAAUCUCACAAAUUUGCACCUUGAAGUUGUUAAUAAAGGACUAAGUUGAUAAUUCAAACAAA